AGUGAGCCCUAACAACAACCCUGGUGGCAAAAAUAACCACCACCACCGAAACAAAACAAACAAAAAAUAAAACAUGAAUUAUUUCCAAAUUUAUAUGUGCCAGAAAUCAGAUGUAGUUAGCUGGGACCUUUGGCUCAAGCACCAAGUCUUGGCUGCUGUCUGAUGACCUGACUGAGAAGGAUAAGCUUUCUUGCCUACUCAAGUGGUUGUUGGUAGGAUUCAGGUGCUUAUGAGUUGCUGUAUUGAAGCCUCGACUCCUCCCUCCUUUUCCUGUCAUGUGGGCCUCUUUAUAGGGCACCUCACAACAUGACAGCUUGUUUCAUCAGAGUUGAGUAAGUAAAAGAUCAAUGGAGAAGAAGGACAGAUGGAGGGAGAACUUGGGCACUGACAGGAUGGAAGUCAGAGGACUGCAAACUAACCACCAUUUCUGUAUUUUAUUUCUUAGAAGCACAUCAUGAAAACCAUCUGAUACCCAAGGGGAGGACCUUACACCUGUAUUGUAGUGUGUAGAAGUGCCAUGGAGAGUAGCAGGAGAUGAGGCUGCAGAGACCCCAGAAAGAGAAAGGAUUUGAUGGGCCUGGCUUGAAUCAGGUGACCACACUGGUCCAAUCAACUGUGGACUCUUUAAGAUGCAGAGUGAGAGACAUCGAGAAAGAAGGAGAAACAUCACAGCACUGCUCCACUACUUGUGAAGCUCCCUUGUGCGGGUGCUGCUGUGUGGUGGCCAGGGACUUGCGUAUGGUGAAGUGUGCACUCUACUGGGGCAGGUAUUUCAGACCAUAGCAGACACAGACAUUUCCUCGUGGGCUGCCUCCUGCCACAGAAGCACAUGGCCGGGGGCUGCUGGGAGCAUGUUGGAAUGCCAGCUACAGAGAUCAGGGUUAGCCUUCCUCCCCCUGGAGUAUAAAGCAAGGCCAGCAAAACCAAUGCCACACACUCUUCUCUGGAUGACAGCAGAUCAUUGCAAUGGCUGAAUGAGGUCUGCAAGCUUGCACCCGCACCAGCAAAUGAUACUUCCUGGUUUGGGGACUCAGAUACUUCAUGGAUAAAACAGAGCUGAUGAAGCAAGCCUUGGGCAAGACCAUGUUUUCUGGAACGAAGUCAAAUGCCCGACAAGAUGAUUCUAUCAGGAAGUUACAGGAAGAUAGAACAAGUAAUUUGGCCCAUGUUCUGCUGUGUUUCUGCCAGACAAGACAGCCGGUGACUCAGUGAAGACAGGAUGCCAGCAAUGGGCCCACUCAACAAGUCCUGAUGGAAUUGGGGUUCAGAGUCUUCUUCCCCUAUCAUUUCUCCCCCACUGGGAGUAUGGACCAAAAUUCUUUAUGGGGUGCAGAAAGUGGAAGAUUUCCAGAGUCAUCUAGUAGCCCUCCUACAAGUGGAUGAAGACAGAGCAGCAUAAAAAGCUUCAAAGGAUGCAGCCUGGGAGGUGGUAUGGCGAAUAAAGCUUUGGACUCUAAGGCACGAGGUCCCAAGUUUGAUUUCCAGCACAGCGCGUGCCAGAGUGAUGCUCUGGUUUUCUCUCUCUCACCAUCCCUAUCACUAACAACAACAACAGAGCAGUUCUGCUCCUAAGCACCCCUGCAUCCCUCAUCUGUGUAGGAUAAGAAAGGAGCUCUGAGGCUUGCGAGGACUGAGAGGCAGAAGUGCAGGUAACCAGUGCAUGGCUGUGACUUGAGCUGAGCACAGACAUUCAGUGGAGAGAAGCUGGGGGUAAAUUUAAGUCACCAACUGUCCUGGUGCACUCAGUAUUCAGGGUUUUUUAUUUAUUUAUUUUUUUUUUAUGCAAGGCUUUCAGUGAUAAAAUGAGGAAACUUUCAAGCAAAAUGGAUCAGCUGGUCAUCUCUGAGCUGGAGUGGCUGGUUGAAGGAAGUCAGUGAUGUAUACAGUGCUGUUUCCUGUGCUCACCUCAGUUCCUCACCCUGGCAGUUUAUCUUCCCCUCUGCCCCUUAGCAAAAUUAGAACCUUAGGUGGGGCCCAGGAGGUGGCACACCGGGUUAAAUGCACAUGGUGCGAAGUGCAGGAACCGGUACAAGGAUCCUGGUUG
This is a long non-coding RNA of Erinaceus europaeus (western European hedgehog), 2044 nucleotides long. RefSeq lists it as uncharacterized. The transcript has 7 exons. NCBI's taxonomy places the organism in Eukaryota, Metazoa, Chordata, Mammalia, Eulipotyphla, Erinaceidae. The record is from RefSeq and is a predicted model, not a curated record.